AAACUAUGUUGCGGACAACUGGAACAUAAAUUUUUAAAUCUCUUCCAAUAAUCGUAGAGGGUCUCUUCUUCAUUUUGUUGAAUUCUUAAAAUGCUUCUCCUUAGUUC
Molecule: small nucleolar RNA, 107 nt
Organism: Hibiscus syriacus
Lineage: Eukaryota; Viridiplantae; Streptophyta; Magnoliopsida; Malvales; Malvaceae
Source: RefSeq, a predicted model, not a curated record